Molecule: long non-coding RNA, 1180 nt
Organism: Daphnia pulicaria
Lineage: Eukaryota; Metazoa; Arthropoda; Branchiopoda; Diplostraca; Daphniidae
Exons: 4
Source: RefSeq, a predicted model, not a curated record
UUGUUUCAAACAUUAGUUGUGCUUAGUCAUAAUAUGCUAUGUGAGAGGGUUUCCAACAACCCUAGACAGGUUUCAAAUUUCAGUCCAUCAACCAUUUUCAAUCCAAGCUGAUUCCCACUUGUCAUGUUUAUCUAAUCAUAGUAUAGCAUAGCAUAGUAGAAUUCUCAGUGUGGUUUUUACUUGAUUGGAUUUCUCGGGGUUUAUGCUACAAAACAUUAGUUACUGUUCGUAGAUGAAGGAGUUAGAAUUUGUUAGUUAAAUGCAUAGUUAUUUUAUACAGACAGAAAUGGGUUGAAGUUCAAGUUGAUGUGGAGAUUUCAAUAUUUCCAUGAAGUCUCUAUUUUGCAUUCGUUAUUUAUUUUCCUACGCUGUGUUCUCCAUGAUUUCUUCAAUCACUAAUACCAUUAACAAAUCACAGAAUCCCGAGAAUUUUUUUUUUUUUGGCUUGGUGAUACUUUUUCUUCAUUUCUUUACUCAAAAUCGUUUCCGUUUUUGCUCCAAAAAGACUUUGUCGCUAGAUGGCUUUUUAUUUUUAUUUUAAACCGCACCUUGGUGGUGGCGUUCGCACGCCGCCAACGAAUUCGAAUGUUAUGUUACACUUACGCGUUAUUUUGUUCUGAACAGAAGGAAAGGAAGUGAGUUUUCCAGAAAUCAUCAUCGUUCGGCUUUAUUUAACGCGAAGCUAUUAAAGAAAACUCCAGACGAUACAAAGUUUAAUCAAAACUCUCAAUAAGGAAAAAGUAGAGAAAAGAAAACUUUAGUGUGACAAGAUGGAAAACGAAACAAUGUUGGGAGGGUCGAAAAUCUGGAGAUAUCACUUCUGAACUAGUGAACAGCCUAAAAUUUUCUAAAUUUAUUGCUCAUUGGCCUGCAAGCAACAAGGCAACAUCUGACGAUUCUGAUCUUGCCAUGAAUGGAAGAGAACCCUUGGUGCAAAAUCAUAAUUCGGUUAACUUUUGAAGAGAAAGUGAGGAGAAAAUACUUCAAGGAUCUCACUCCUCCAAGAACUAUGCAGAUUUGUUCCCGGUUUACCCUCGACGCUGUUCGUUAGACUUUAUCAAUUGGCGGGAAAUGACGAGUGGUUGGACGCGCUGAAAUUCAAGAUUGAUAAAUUAUUUAAAUGUUUAUAAAUUAAAAGUGCAUUUCUGGGCUCCCUUCUUCUCUGAGGCCCCGUUUCCCU